RNAcentral lists this unclassified non-coding RNA (374 nucleotides) under uncultured Gammaproteobacteria bacterium. RNAcentral's name for it is "contains 16S-23S intergenic spacer region". The record is from RNAcentral. Lineage: Bacteria; Pseudomonadati; Pseudomonadota; Gammaproteobacteria.
UCCGGUUUGUCACCGGCAGUCUCUUCAGAGUGCCCGUUUCCGUAGCAACUGAAGACAAGGGUUGCGCUCGUUGCGGGACUUAACCCAACAUCUCACGACACGAGCUGACGACAGCCAUGCAGCACCUGUGUUCCGAUUCCCUUUCGGGCACACCCAACUUUCAUCGGGCUUCCGGACAUGUCAAGGGUAGGUAAGGUUAUUCGCGUUGCAUCGAAUUAAUCCACAUCAUCCACCGCUUGUGCGGGUCCCCGUCAAUUCCUUUGAGUUUUAAUCUUGCGACCGUACUCCCCAGGCGGUCAACUUCACGCGUUAGCUGCGGUACUAGGGAAUCGCUUCCUCAACACCUAGUUGACAUCGUUUAGGGCGUGGACUAC